UCAUCAUCACGGUUGCUUUGCUCAUUGGUUACAUUUUGUUUCAGUCGUUCCAGCCAUGGAUACAAAACAGACAUUUCGAGUUCAUGGUAGAUAAAUACGCAAAGGAUAAGCUACUGACACUUUUAACAACAAAUGGCAAGCCCAGUAUAGUGAAGAUACAAAGGUUGUUCAACAAAAUUGGCAAGGACAACACUGCAUUAGUAACACCAGCAGAAAUCAGAGUCUUGGUCUUAGGAGUAAAGAUGGAUGACGACGACAUCAGCACAAACCUUGUUUUGGA
Non-coding RNA from Salvia hispanica, 280 nucleotides. The record is from RefSeq and is a predicted model, not a curated record. NCBI's taxonomy places the organism in Eukaryota, Viridiplantae, Streptophyta, Magnoliopsida, Lamiales, Lamiaceae.